ACAACAUUGGGACCGUCGGUCUACCAAGUAAUAACAACCACUCGGUGGAAAAUCUUCCCCCCUUUGU
This 67-nucleotide microRNA precursor is filed under the name Bombyx mori (domestic silkworm). Its description in RNAcentral is "mir-2774 microRNA precursor family". It matches the Rfam family "mir-2774 microRNA precursor family". Lineage: Eukaryota; Metazoa; Arthropoda; Insecta; Lepidoptera; Bombycidae. The record is from Rfam by way of RNAcentral.